UCUUAUACUUGAUACUUCAAUCAAGCUAAGUCAUGGCGGCUUAUGGUGCUGCAAUUUCUCUCAAGAAUACCAUUCAGACUAUUCUACAAUCAUCUCGCAUUUCACUAGUUCCUCCCUCUCCACAAAUCUUACAACCCGCCUACGAUGCCAUGGCUCGUUUGCAGAAAGCUCUGCUAAAAUUGGAGGAGACUAGCUACAGCAAGAUCCGGACGAAGGUGAAUGAUGUCGACGACCGAAUCAAAGAGGCCGUGUGGGAAUUCGAAGAUUUACUCGAAUCUCAUGUGUAUGAACAAAUUCUUCCACGAGUCGAAAGUGAGAGAGAUCAUUUGUCUUUCUCGGUAGAUCUGCAGAGUCUCCGACAGAGCGUUGAUUGCUUUGUGGAGAAGGUGGCUGUCAUGGAGGCGGAGUUCGAUAUCGAACUAUAUAAUAUGCCUGAAGAAGAAGGUGAACCUCUUUCCUUAAGAAUUGAUUUUGGUGGAAUCGAUUCAAACAUGGUUGGAAAUGGAAUAUCCGAAGAAUUUGUAGCUGUCAGGAAUGGUCUUUGUGCACAAGAUGGCAGUAGUUGGUUGCUACCAGUUAUUGGGAUGGCAGGAAUUGGAAAAACAGCAUUUGCUAAGAAAUUAUUUGAUGAUCCAUUAAUUAAGAGUCAUUACGAACUUCGAGCAUGGGUCAAAGUGGGCAGAAAAUGUGAAUCCAAUGAAAUAUUGCGAUGCAUUUUAGCUCAAGUGGAUCCCAGCACUAGUGACCAAAUGCUUACCCAAGGAGACAACGAUGACCAUGAGGAACUAGUUCGAUUGUUGGAAGAGAGGUUGAAGGAUAAGAAAUGUCUCAUUGUGUUGGAUGAUGUGUGGAAAUGGGAUACACAGUUAGUGGAUAAAUUGCCAAAAGAGAAUGUUGGAAUCUUGCUUACAAGCCGACAACAAAUUAAAGAAUGUAGAAUUGAGUGCCGACUGUGCUUGUUGAAUGAUGAAGAAAGUAAGAAAUUACUUGGCGAGAGGGUGUUUGGUCCAAAGGGUUUCCCUCCUAACCUUGAUAAACUAGGAGAGAAGAUUGCAAAAAAAUGUGAAGGUCUUCCACUUAUGAUAGUCACAAUUGCGGAGCUCCUAUCUAAAGAGGAAACAACCACAGAAAAUUGGACUGAGGUAGCUGAAAAACAACAUAAUUCAGUAUUCGUGGAUGCAUAUGAUAAGAUCGCAGAGGUACUUUCCCCAAGCUAUGACUACUUACCUCAAAAAUUGAAAAUGUUAUUUCUUUAUUUGGGAGCUUACCCUCCAUAUACUGAUAUUCCACCAAGCGUCAUCUUAAACCGGUUGAUAACUGAGGGGUUUCUUGAAUCUUUUGGUAAACAAAUUCUGGAUGGAGUAACUUUUGAUCAUCUUUUGCAUGAAUGGGUGACACACCUUGCUUCCGGGUACCAUGUUGUUCUAUUCAAUCUCACUCUAAAUUCUUGGUUUUCAAAGCUAAUUUUUCGUGUGCAUUCUUGCUGGCAGCACUUUUGUAAGAAAGAAGCAACUAGGAUUAAGUUUUUGCAUGUUUUACAAAGCAACGAUGAUGUUGUGAAAGAUCAACGUCGGUUGUGUGCCCAUCACAUCUCUUUAUUUUGCUUCAAAGAAGUGUGUGAAAAUAUAAAAAAAGAUUGUGCAUCCAAUGUACGUUCUCUCCUUUGUCUUGGUCCUAGCCACGCUUAUGCGAUGCCAAUACAUGCAAUGGAUUUCAAGUUGCUCAAGGUACUGGAAGCUGGAAUGGUCCGAUUUUAUCAUUUCCCACUUGAAAUUUUCAAAUUAAUUUGUCUAAAGUACCUUUGCAUAACCUGCAACAAAGAGAUCCCAGUUUCUAUAUCCAACCUUUUCCACCUUCAAAUCUUGAUUAUCAAUCAACAUAUGAACAUUAAGACACGCGGAGCUUUGUCAUGUAUGCCGGUGGAAGUAUGGGACAUGCAAGAACUACAACAUAUUGAGGUAUGGGGAAAAGACCUACCGACUCCUAAUUCUUCUGUUGCUGCAUUGGAUAGACUUUCCAGUCUUAAGGGUGUGAGUGUAAAGAGUUGCACAAGAGAAAUUCUCAAGAGAAUCCCGAACUUAAAGGGAUUAGGAAUUGUGGUAGAAUUGCGGCCUUAUGAUGAAGAUGAUGAUAGAAACCCAUUGAGUAACCUGGGUAAUAUAUCAGAGGUACUCAAGUAUUUGAAAAUGCUUACAUAUACUGUGAAGUAUCCUGAUAUUAAGCGUGAGUGUAUGGUUCCUCUAUCAAUGUUCCCGUCAAGUUUGACAGCGUUAUAUUUGAGUGGCUUAGGGUGUCUAUGGGAGCACAUGAAUGUCAUAGGUUCGAUGCUACCAAAUCUUGUGUAUCUCAAUUUAGAAAGCUAUGCCUUUCGAAGCCCCGAGUGGAAUAUAGAAGCAGGGAGUUUUUUGAAACUUGAGACCGUUAAAAUUGAGGACACUGAUUUGGUGCGAUUGAUAGCUCAACAAGGAAGUCUCCCAAGGCUCAAACUCCUAAGCAUACGCCAUUGCUACAAAUUAAAACAAUUCGAUUGGACGCGUGAUCCCUCAAUGGUCACCACUACAAUUGAGUUAGUUGAGUGCCAUCCCUUAGCCGCCGAUUCUGCCAUGCAAUUAAGACCUGAAUCUGUCUUUACAAUUCGUUGUUACUCUUCUUUUUGAAUUCCUAGCUCGAUCGACUCUCAACUUGGUUAACGGGAAAUGAGAGGGCAAAAGGGGUCAGAUUGCAAGUGAAAAACACUUUAUUUUACUGGGUCUAACGCAAUUUUUAAGUCGGAAUCGCUAGAUCUAGGAAGAGCUGGAGGCAAUGGACUAGCGAAGGAAAACAAAGGGAAGUGAGCAGAGUUGAAGAGAAAAGAAAUGGUUGGACGAAGGGAGUCAAUAGCUGAGGGAAACAAAGACUAUUCAUACCUCGCUGGACCCACUUCUACGCCUAUAAAUAAAGGAGCAUGCAGCACACGCCAGAGAGAGGAUUUUGCUCUCAGCUCACACACUCACACACACACUAGGGAAAAAUGGGAAUUCUGGGAUAGUUAAGGGUUUCUAGGGGUUUCAUCUUCGGAAAAAGCUAGUGGUAACACCGUCCUCACGGAGGGCGAAGAAACAAUCAGUUUACACUCAGUUUUUUGCAUUUUUAUUCCGUCGAACUUUAUCGUUUUGGAAGUCGAUUUGGUUGCUGGCUA
This is a non-coding RNA of Salvia hispanica, 3178 nucleotides long. NCBI's taxonomy places the organism in Eukaryota, Viridiplantae, Streptophyta, Magnoliopsida, Lamiales, Lamiaceae. The record is from RefSeq and is a predicted model, not a curated record.